CCUACGGGUGGCAGCAGUGAGGAAUAUUGGUCAAUGGACGAGAGUCUGAACCAGCCAAGUAGCGUGAAGGAUGACUGCCCUAUGGGUUGUAAACUUCUUUUAUAUGGGAAUAAAACGUUCCACGUGUGGGAUUUUGUAUGUACCAUAUGAAUAAGGAUCGGCUAACUCCGUGCCAGCAGCCUCGGUAAUACGGAGGAUCCGAGCUUUAUCCGGAUUUAUUGGGUUUAAAGGGAGCGUAGGUAGAUUGUUAAGUCAGUUGUGAGAGUUUGCGGCUCAACCGUAAAAUUGCAGUUGAAACUGGCAGUCUUGAGUACAGUAGAGGUGGGCGGAAUUCAUGGUGUAGCGGUGAAAUGCUUAGAUAUCACGAAGAACUCCGAUUGCGAAGGCAGUUCACUGGACUGCAACUGACACUGAGGCUCGAAAGUGUGGGUAUCAAACAGGAUUAGAUACCCCAGUAGUC
Molecule: ribosomal RNA, 460 nt
Filed under: uncultured bacterium
Lineage: Bacteria
Description: partial 16S ribosomal RNA
Rfam family: Bacterial small subunit ribosomal RNA
Source: RNAcentral